Oryza sativa Indica Group (long-grained rice) is the source of this 206-nucleotide microRNA precursor. It matches the Rfam family "MIR812 microRNA precursor family". The record is from Rfam. Lineage: Eukaryota; Viridiplantae; Streptophyta; Magnoliopsida; Poales; Poaceae.
AAUAAAUGCGGUUUUGCACUAUUUAUGUCCAACGUUCGAUCAUUCAUCUUAUUUGAAUAUUUUUAUGAUUAAUAUUUUUUAUUGUUAUUAAAUGAUAAAACAUGAAUAACACUUUAUGUGUGACUAUUUUUUUUAAUCUUUUAUAAAUUUUUCAAAUAAGACGGACAAUCAAACGUUGGACACGGAUACCCACGGCUGCACUUAUU